GGGGGACCACCCUCCAAGCCUAAAUACUCGUACAUGACCGAUAGCGAACACAGUACCGUGAGGGAAAGGUGAAAAGAACCGCGGAUAGCGGAGUGAAAAGAACCUGAAACCGUGUGCUUACAAGCAGUUAGAGGGCUAUAAAUGGCCUGAUAGCGUGCCUUUUGCAUAAUGAGCCUACGAGUUACUCCUCACUGGCAAGGUUAAGUGCAUUGAUGCACGCAGGCGCAGCGAAAGCGAGUCUGAAUAGGGCGUGUAGUCAGUGGGGGUAGACGCGAAACCUAGUGAGCUACCCUUGAGCAGGAUGAAGGAGCGGUAACACGCUGUGGAGGUCCGAACCAGUUUCCGUUGAAAAGGAUUUGGAUGACUUGAGGGUAGGGGUGAAAGGCCAAUCAAACUCCGUGAUAGCUGGUUCUCUCCGAAAUGCAUUUAGGUGCAGCGUUAUAUGUUGAGCUUGCCGGAGGUAGAGCUACUGGUUGGUUGAGCGGGACUAUCAUCUUAGCAACAUCAGCCAAACUCCGAAUGCCGGUGUAAGUGUGUAUAGCAGUGAGACUGUGGGGGAUAAGCUUCAUAGUCGAGAGGGAAACAGCCCAGAUCGCCGGUUAAGGCCCCUAAGGGUGUACUAAGUGGAAAAGGAUGUGGGAUCGCGAAGACAGCCAGGAGGUUGGCUUAGAAGCAGCCAUCCUUGAAAGAGUGCGUAAUAGCUCACUGGUCGAGU
RNAcentral lists this ribosomal RNA (715 nucleotides) under Rhodella violacea. Its description in RNAcentral is "partial Bacterial large subunit ribosomal RNA". It matches the Rfam family "Bacterial large subunit ribosomal RNA", at positions 447 to 1154 of the family's 2925-position model. Lineage: Eukaryota; Rhodophyta; Rhodellophyceae; Rhodellales; Rhodellaceae. The record is from RNAcentral.